GCUAUAUCUUUUUUAUUUAUAAUAGGACGAUGAGGGAAUAAAAUCAUCGUGAUGCAAUCAGUUUCUGCUAAACAUCAUACUUUGUUAGAGACAGCAGGUGUCCUCUUAUAGCCGAGAGUAUAUAUGAACGUAGGUACAUGUAACAAAUUGAUUUUAGAUGUACAUAAAAUGACAAAUAUUGUAUGCAUGACAUAGAAUUAAAAUAGCAAUACUUCAUUAAAAAUUACUGACACACCUACGUUAAAGGAUUUUCUGUUCCUAAGACACCACAACGAAAAGAUUAAAGAUGACAGCGAUAUAACCUCUAAUCUACAAUGUGACAUAAUAUCGUUCAGGAAAAUAAAGAGGAAAAGAGAAUCGAACUUUUUAGCACGUUAUGUUGAUACUGGUAAUGUAGUAAUAUUGUGACACAGAUCGUGAAUGGGAAGUGUAUAGUAUAUAAAAAGAUAGAGUUUUAGGUUAUGUCGAAGCGAGAUUAACGUUAGGUAUCACGCGCGCUGCUGUAUAAGGCGAUUAAUUACAAUAAAUCCUGCGAAGUACGUUAUUUCUUUAGGAAAUUGCAAGCCAAGAUAGAAAUAGGCAGAGGCAAAGGAAUGCGAAAUUCCUUGAAGAAAGUCGUAACACGAAUCGUAUGUAUUCUGCGUAAAAGUAGAUUUUACUCAAUGCACAUGCCGGGCAAAAGAGACGGGCAAAGAACUGGAAUGCUCAGAAUGUUAAUCGUUUAAUGGGAUAUAAUCGGUUAAUGGGAGUCUGCAUUCAACCGAAGCCUUCCAUACAAGCCGGAUGAUCGCGUUUCGACCCCUCGUGCGACUUCAUUUUUCAUCACGACAAUAAAGAUUAGCUUGUCGUUAAAGGUGAAUUAUUAAGACUAUUAUGAAACAAGUUGGAAAGCGAGAUAUCGUUAUAUGUAUACAAUAGGCGAGUACGGUGGCUGUGAAGAAUAUCCACACAACAUUGUAUUUAUUAUAGCAUUCACACUAAUUAAUUAGUCUCAAGUAUAUAUUUAUAUAUUUUAUGUAAUUUCGGCUUCACGGCCGGAAAAUGGACUUGAUUUUAUAAUAUUUUUUAAAACUCGUAUAUGCUUAUAUCUUUCUCACAGUUCGGUUUUAGACAUCAAGUUUGUAAAACUGAGCCUAUUCUUAUAUAUAGGGUGCAACAGAACAUAUAAUAGAAACAAUAGAAAACGUUCCUCUAGACAUUUAUUCUAUCCGUUUUCGUUUACGGGAUACGACGAAUUUUUCUCUUGAUUUUGUGUUAUCUAAUUACCUUUACAGAAGAUACUGAAGAAGAUGACCACCUUGCGUUUUAAGGUAAGCCUGUAGACGUCUUGUUAUAAACCCAGUUACACUCUGAAUGGUAUUCAACAUCUUCUAUAGGUUUAGUGUUUAUGAAAAUUCGUUGUCUCAUAAGCGAAGACAGACAGAGCAUAUAUUUCUACCAACUUUUUUCAUUGCUUCUUGUCACAUCACCCGUUAAGAUAUUAGUGACUACAAUGCAUGUAUUUUAUAUAUAUAUAUAAUAAAGUACAUUGUAGUUAUUAAUAUCUUAUCAGAUUCUUAUUUGUAUCUUAUCCUCCUUAAUAACUUAUCUUAUCCUAUAAUAUCGAAUUCUAUUAACAUCUGUUGUUUUAUAACUACAGUUUACCCUCUUAUUUUUAUGAUCUUGUUAGAUUAUCUCUGUAUAUAUUCUCUGUUAGUUCUCUGUCAAUUAUCUCUGUAUAUAUGUAAUUAUAAUAAAUAAAUAUAUAUAUAUCUAUAGUAGUAUAUAUAGGUAUAUAUGUAAAAUAUUAUGUAUGUGCAUAUAUAAUGUUCGAUUUACGAUAAUUUAAUCUCUCAUUCUCAGUUAACAGAUUGAUGAUAGCUUUAAGCUGGCAGAUUUCUCCAUCAUUUUUAUGCAAAUGCGAUUCCUUUCAGCGUGCAGCUAACAUUUAAUCCGACCCCGUGUCGUAUGCAUGAUAAAUAAGCGCACGCUGUAGUUACAGGUCGUAAUUAUCGCGGAGUAUCAUUCUUUCGUGCCAAGAAGAGACCGACCUCGCCGCACUGUUCGGCUUUUCCUAUCCUUACAAGGGACCCACACAUUGUUCUAGACUGGCAGAAUACCAACAUCGUCUCGUGUUUCCCACUGGGACACAACGAUACCUCAUACCUGGAAAUAAUACGCAUCCACUGCUUCCUGUCGCUUUAAAACGAUUUACUGUACCUUUUUACUUGGGUCCUGUCUAUCUAGUCUACAGAACAUGUUCGAAAUAAGUACGUACACUCCUGCUUGUAAACAAAAUAGAGCCCUACUCAUUCUAACAUCUAUUAGCCGAAUACCCUAAUAUCCGAACGGUUUAUUAUCUGAACAUAAUAUUUCCCAGUAAUGGAUACUUAGAUUUGAUAGACGAACUAAGAACUGAAUCGAAAUUUCGAAUUAAUUAAGAACAGAUACGAUAGAGAAAUUAAUAUCAAUUAUGAAAAGUAACUUCCUUUAUUUCGAUAGAUUUUUAACGAAAGACUUCUCUAAGGUAAAUACGUAGCAGGUUAUUAAACAGAGUUUUUCAUCUACUGCAUUGUGCUGAAAUUCCUCUGCACCAUUUCAAUUUGUAAUUCUUAUUAAAAGAAUUAAAAAGGAAUAUUAAUGGUACACACGUUUCCAAGUAUCUUUUAAUUGUUACUGAAAAUCGUAAUACCUGUAAUACGUAAUUUAACGAUUAUGGCAUCACGUUUGUUCGCGACUCAUCCUCAUUAAUCUUCACGCCAUUAUUCCUGGCAUUAGGAGCACGUUAUUAAUUGCGAUAUUGUAUCAUUUCCUCGUUAAUUGUGUUAAUUGACUCCGAUCCACCUGGAGUAUACUAUUAUUUUAUUCAAUUCCAGCGUCAAAGCCUAUGAUCUGAUAUGAUUAGUAAUGGAUUCUCUAUUAAUCAGAUUCAAAUGGCUGUUGAAAUUCAAUCGAGAGAAAGAGUGAGAAAGGAAACCGAUACGAUAAAAACAAAUGAAAAUUUCUCUUAGAAACUCGUUGCAAAAUAAUUAACGACUCUCGAUCUUCUGUAUGUUCUAGUCUAAUUAAAACAUCCCAGCGCAAAGAAAUAUCUUAAUAUGUUCUUCUUUUCUACUUUUGAGAUCUUAGAGCGAUUGUCAUAUAGACAAAUUUAAAUAAUAAAAAACAGCGGGCAAAUUGUGAAAGCAAACGCCGAAGUGGAUGUAGAAAGAUUGCACUGCUUCAUACAAAGUGCGCAAUGAGAAUUAAAGUAAUUUGUCUAGAACGCUAAGAUAGCACAGUAUCAUUUAGGGCAAUGUGAUAUUAAUUACUAGCAAUAAGGAUAGUAGUAAGACUCAGAGGGAUAGUACAAAUUAAGACUACGUACAAGAAAGAUUGUUACUUAUACAGAGUGUCCCGAACUUAACUCUCCAUCUACAAUAUUAUUUUUACUGACGUUGUCUAGUGGUUGAUCUUUGUAUGUCCUUUACGUAUUCACCUACAAAAUAGCUAACAUGUAGUACCAAAUCUUAGUCUCUUUGACGCCAUUUAACUCUUAUUAGAAAGGUUUCUUCAUAGAGCGAGUAAUUUUGUAAUAUUUAGAAAUCAUGAAGUUAGUUAGCUUUGUCCUACUUAGAGUCGGUUACUUCACUCGCUAAGAAAUAAUUUCCUGUUUCCUCGUUAAUGCCACGCUAUUUUCCUUCUAUAUAUUUGCCUGUGAAAUAUGAACACAUCGUAAAUAGUAUCGAUGCAAGGGCCAAUGGAACUGCAACAUCAUUUUCCAAGAGAACGGUUUAGUUGCGACUGAUGAUUCUUUUUUCAAAGUUGAUGUCCGCGAUGUUAAUAUGAUAGAGUAAAAAAACUGACCUUUUGGCCUUGAUUUUCAGGUUCAAGGACAACGUUGCGCGGGCCUUUCGGGUGAAAUCUCCGUCAAACGGAAGGUGAUAGAGUCGUCAGACUGUCAGACUUAUAAUGACUUUUAUCGACAAUAUUUACACACCCUGUACAUUAGAAAAACGACUUUGCAGACCUUCGUAUUUUCGCGGCGAUCAACUUCAACGCUUCGAUAACGGAACAGAAAAAAAGAAAGGAACGAAUUAAAAAUAAUUGAAAGAAGGAAAGAUGAAGGAGGAAGACAAAGUUCACGGUUCGAGUGAUCGACGAGUUUCACCGUUCCGCUUUGUGUUCUCAUCCACUUCCGGGCUUUCAGAGGACGGGGAAAACAGAGCAGGAAGAUCUGUCUUCGUAUCAAGAUUUAAAAUUCCGUCUGGCGCUUUACAAGAAGACAGUCAAUACGAAGGUAUUACAGGGAACAGAGGGAGAUAUAGGAAAAAGAAUAAUGGAGUAUGCACAGGGGAUCUACCGGUAGUUUUCUAUUUCUUUCCUCGUUGAAACGUUCCUCCUACAGUAUCGUUGAGGAACGGUAUCGGUUCUAACUACUCUUCACUGAUCCAUCGAGCCUUUACAGAAGUAAGUUUUAUUUUAAACAGGAUAGAUAGUAAGUAAUAAGUACAUGCUAAUUACGAAGGAAGAAUUAAAUAACGCGAUGUAACAGAAUAAAAUAGCAAUGUAAUAUGUGCAGUUGAUGUUAAAACGGGUCUUUACAGUGUUCUCUUUUUGGAAUUUAUUAUAGUUUAAUGUUUUUUUUAUUGAGAAUAUUUUUCCUUGAAUUUUAUAAAGACGUUUUCGUUUUCAGUAAGUUUCUGGAAACGAUUUAUGAUCACCGACAAUAAUUUGUCUGAGGUCGGACACUCGAAUAAGCUACUUUAAGUAGAAUGUUGCCGCACGGUCGUACAAACCUAUUGUAUUUUAUUUCUGUGCCACAACACCGACUGUAUCCUAGACAAGCUACUUUGUGAAAUUGCUUUUUAAAAUCUUAUAUGUACUUAGUAAAGAGAGCAUUUUAUAGCAUUUUAUUACCUUAGUAACUUAUUACAUGCAAACUGAUUUGGAUUAGAACAGUUAUGUUGGUGUACGUGGUAACAGAGGCGACGCAAAAGAAUAUUUCCAACUCUGCUCGAAUACGUUCCAAGUAGGUUGGCAAGUGUACCGGGGCACGCUGGCUUUUGACCCACUUUGAGCUUCGCAAGCUCUCCUAACCUUAAAACAAGCACUGCUAUUCCAGUCUAUACCGCUUCUAAUACGUUACAUGUUACUUGACUGCAGUUUUAGCAUGCUGCAUGCGAGGCCUAUCAAAUUACUAAGGAGGAAGUUUUAAUUCUCUUCGAUCAUCAUUUUCGAUAGAACUAACUUUUCCAUUGAAUAACGAGGUUCUUUCGGCCUGUAAUAGUCCAACGGCUGCUGAAACAAGGCCUCUAAUCAUGAUUCCAAUAUAUUAUAGAUUCUUGGAUUUGAAACCUUAAGCGAAGAAGAUAUAGCUACGUCACAGAUUAGGUUAUUAAUUGAUAACUGCAAUUGUAUAAAUCAUAGUCUAAUAAAUAUGCACAUAUGUAUACAUACAUACGUA
Molecule: long non-coding RNA, 5425 nt
Organism: Bombus terrestris (buff-tailed bumblebee)
Lineage: Eukaryota; Metazoa; Arthropoda; Insecta; Hymenoptera; Apidae
Exons: 3
Source: RefSeq, a predicted model, not a curated record